Molecule: ribosomal RNA, 433 nt
Filed under: uncultured bacterium
Lineage: Bacteria
Description: partial 16S ribosomal RNA
Rfam family: Bacterial small subunit ribosomal RNA
Source: RNAcentral
AACGAACGCUGGCGGCAUGCCUAACACAUGCAAGUCGAACGAGAACUUCGGGUCUAGUGGCGCACGGGUGCGUAACACGUGGGGACCUGCCCUUAGGUUCGGAAUAACUCCCCGAAAGAGGUGCUAAUACCGGUUAAUGUCUUCGGACCAACGAUUUAUCGCCUUUGGAUGGGGCCGCGUUGGAUUCGCUGGUUGGUAGGGUAAAAGCAUACCAAGGGGACGAUCCAUAGCUGGUCUGAGAGGAUGAUCAGCUACACUGGGACUGAGACACGGCCCAGACUGCGACGCGAGGCAGCAGUGGGGAAUAUUGUACACUGGGCGCAAGCGUGAUCCAGCCACGCCGCGUGAGUGAUGAAGCCCUUAGUGUUGUAAAGCUCUUUUUCCCGGGAUGAUAAUGACAGUACCGGGUGAAGAAGCUCCGGCUAACUCCGUG